Molecule: long non-coding RNA, 864 nt
Filed under: Homo sapiens (human)
Lineage: Eukaryota; Metazoa; Chordata; Mammalia; Primates; Hominidae
Description: non-protein coding PVT1:43
Rfam family: Pvt1 oncogene conserved region 7 (bases 261-397)
Source: RNAcentral
GUGAGUGCUCCGUGAAUGUUAGUUACUGUGAUUAUUUUUAGCCCAGCAGGACAGGGAGGAGUGUUAGGUCCCUGGGGGCGAUCACUCCUCUGUUUACUCCUCGGACUGUCCCGGCCUGGCAGGCGUUCAUGAGUUUGUUUCUCCUGUCCCAAGGUUGCCCUGGUGCUCUGCAGUGGCAGGGCUGAGAUGAUUAUACAACCUGCACUCCAGGCCAAGUCCGGUACUCGUCCCAGCUGUCGGCUAAGCCUGCACUGCUAUGGAAGGACAGAAUAACGGGCUCCCAGAUUCACAAGCCCCACCAAGAGGAUCACCCCAGGAACGCUUGGAGGCUGAGGAGUUCACUGAGGCUACUGCAUCUUGAGACUCAGGAUGAAGACCCAGCUUGGGGCUGUCAAAGAGGCCUGAAGAGGCAGAACACCCCAGAGGAGCCUGGGGCCACCACCCAGCAUCACUGUGGGAAAACGGCAGCAGGAAAUGUCCUCUCGCCUGCGUGCUCCACCUCGGUCCACGCCUUCCCUCCUUCUGGAAGCCUUGCCUGACCACUGGCCUGCCCCUUCUAUGGGAAUCACUACUGACCUUGCAGCUUAUUAUAGACUUAUAUGUUUUUUGCAUGUCUGACACCCAUGACUCCACCUGGACCUUAUGGCUCCACCCAGAAGCAAUUCAGCCCAACAGGAGGACAGCUUCAACCCAUUACGAUUUCAUCUCUGCCCCAACCACUCAGCAGCAAGCACCUGUUACCUGUCCACCCCCACCCCUUCCCCCAAACUGCCUUUGAAAAAUCCCUAACCUAUGAGCUUUGAAUAAGAUGAGUACGAACUUCAUCGCCCACGUGGCGUGGCCGGCCUCGUGUCUAUUAAAUUC